Molecule: ribosomal RNA, 496 nt
Filed under: uncultured archaeon
Lineage: Archaea
Description: bacterial SSU rRNA
Rfam family: Archaeal small subunit ribosomal RNA
Source: RNAcentral
UAAAGGAAUUGGCGGGGGAGCACCACAAGGGGUGAAGCCUGCGGUUCAAUUGGAGUCAACGCCAGAAAUCUUACCCGGAGAGACAGCAGAAUGAAGGUCAAGCUGAAGACUUUACCAGACAAGCUGAGAGGUGGUGCAUGGCCGUCGCCAGCUCGUGCCGUGAGAUGUCCUGUUAAGUCAGGUAACGAGCGAGAUCCCUGCCGCUAGUUGCUAUCAUUAUUCUCAGGAAUAGUGGAGCGAAUUAGUGGGACUGCCGUUGUUAAAACGGAGGAAGGAAGGGGCUACGGCAGGUCAGUAUGCCCCGAAACUCUGGGGCCACACGCGGGCUGCAAUGGUAGUGACAAUGAGUUCCAAACUCGAAAGAGAGUGGCAAUCUCUAAACGCUACCACAGUUAUGACUGAGGGCUGUAACUCGCCCUCACGAAUAUGGAAUCCCUAGUAACCGCGUGUCAUUACCGCGCGGUGAAUACGUCCCUGCUCCUUGCACACACCGCCA